GUUUAUGGUCAUGCCGCCCUGAACAAGCCUGAUCCCAUCUGAUUUCAGAAGCUAAGCAGGGUCGGGCCCAGAUAGUACUUGGAUGGGAGACCACCUAGGAAGACCAGGUGGUGUAGGCA
RNAcentral lists this ribosomal RNA (119 nucleotides) under Pteropus alecto (black flying fox). Lineage: Eukaryota; Metazoa; Chordata; Mammalia; Chiroptera; Pteropodidae. The record is from RNAcentral. RNAcentral also lists the same sequence under 1 other name.